AUUGAACGCUGGCGGCAGGCCUAACACAUGCAAGUCGAGCGGAUGAAGGGAGCUUGCUCCUGGAUUCAGCGGCGGACGGGUGAGUAAUGCCUAGGAAUCUGCCUGGUAGUGGGGGAUAACGUCCGGAAACGGGCGCUAAUACCGCAUACGUCCUGAGGAGGAAGGGGGGGGUUCUUGGGACCACAGCUUACAGGAUGACCCUAGGUCGGAUUAGCUAGUUGGUGGGGUAAAGGCCUACCAAGGCGACGAUCCGUAACUGGUCUGAGAGGAUGAUCAGUCACACUGGAACUGAGACACGGUCCAGACUCCUACGGGAGGCAGCAGUGGGGAAUAUUGGACAAUGGGCGAAAGCCUGAUCCAGCCAUGCCGCGUGUGUGAAGAAGGUCUUCGGAUUGUAAAGCACUUUAAGUUGGGAGGAAGGGCAGUAAGUUAAUACCUUGCUGUUUUGACGUUACCAACAGAAUAAGCACCGGCUAACUUCGUG
RNAcentral lists this ribosomal RNA (484 nucleotides) under uncultured bacterium. RNAcentral describes it as "partial 16S ribosomal RNA". It matches the Rfam family "Bacterial small subunit ribosomal RNA", at positions 30 to 507 of the family's 1533-position model. The record is from RNAcentral.